Molecule: ribosomal RNA, 495 nt
Filed under: uncultured bacterium
Lineage: Bacteria
Description: partial 16S ribosomal RNA
Rfam family: Bacterial small subunit ribosomal RNA
Source: RNAcentral
GACGAACGCUGGCGGCGUGCCUAAUACAUGCAAGUAGAACGCUGAAGGAGGAGCUUGCUUCUCUGGAUGAGUUGCGAACGGGUGAGUAACGCGUAGGUAACCUGCCUGGUAGUGGGGGAUAACUAUUGGAAACGAUAGCUAAUACCGCAUAAUAGCAGUUGUUGCAUGAUAACUGUUUGAAAGGUGCAAUUGCACCGCUACCAGAUGGACCUGCGUUGUAUUAGCUAGUUGGUGGGGUAACGGCUCACCAAGGCGACGAUACAUAGCCGACCUGAGAGGGUGAUCGGCCACACUGGGACUGAGACACGGCCCAGACUCCUACAGGAGGCAGCAGUAGGGAAUCUUCGGCAAUGGACGGAAGUCUGACCGAGCAACGCCGCGUGAGUGAAGAAGGUUUUCGGAUCGUAAAGCUCGGUUGUAAGAGAAGAACGAGUGUGAGAGUGGAAAGUUCACACUGUGACGGUAUCUUACCAGAAAGGGACGGCUAACUACGUG